UACGUAGGGGGCUAGCGUUGUCCGGAAUCAUUGGGCGUAAAGAGCGUGUAGGCGGUUCGGUAAGUCUGCCGUGAAAACCUGGGGCUCAACCGCAGAAUUGCCUUCGAUACUGGACGGCUCGAGACCGGAAGAGGUCAGUGGAACUGCGAGUGUAGAGGUGAAAUUCGUAGAUAUUCGCAAGAACACCAGUGGCGAAGGCGGCUGACUGGUCCGGUUCUGACGCUGAGGCGCGAAAGCGUGGGGAGCAAACAGGAUUAGAAACCCUUGUAGU
This 271-nucleotide ribosomal RNA is filed under the name uncultured bacterium. Its description in RNAcentral is "partial 16S ribosomal RNA". It matches the Rfam family "Bacterial small subunit ribosomal RNA", at positions 524 to 794 of the family's 1533-position model. The record is from RNAcentral.